CGGUAAUACAGAGGGUGCAAGCGUUAAUCGGAAUUACUGGGCGUAAAGCGCGCGCAGGUGGUUUGUUAAGUURGAUGUGAAAUCCCCGGGCUCAACCUGGGAACUGCAUCCAAAACUGGCAAGCUAGAGUAUGGUAGAGGGUGGUGGAAUUUCCUGUGUAGCGGUGAAAUGCGUAGAUAUMGGAAGGAACACCAGUGGCGAAGGCGACCMCCUGGACUGAUACUGACACUGAGGUGCGAAAGCGUGGGGAGCAAACAGGAUUA
This 263-nucleotide ribosomal RNA is filed under the name Pseudomonas taetrolens. RNAcentral's name for it is "partial 16S ribosomal RNA". It matches the Rfam family "Bacterial small subunit ribosomal RNA", at positions 518 to 780 of the family's 1533-position model. The record is from RNAcentral. Lineage: Bacteria; Pseudomonadati; Pseudomonadota; Gammaproteobacteria; Pseudomonadales; Pseudomonadaceae.